GCUUGAGUAGUUUAGAAUAAAAUUUUAGUUUGUGGAACUAAAGAAGGUUUAUUACCCUUAGGCC
This 64-nucleotide transfer RNA is filed under the name Thermobia domestica (firebrat). Its description in RNAcentral is "tRNA-His". Lineage: Eukaryota; Metazoa; Arthropoda; Insecta; Zygentoma; Lepismatidae. The record is from RNAcentral.